RNAcentral lists this small nuclear RNA (20 nucleotides) under Arabidopsis thaliana (thale cress). RNAcentral's name for it is "snRNA_03189". The record is from RNAcentral. Lineage: Eukaryota; Viridiplantae; Streptophyta; Magnoliopsida; Brassicales; Brassicaceae.
GAUAACGCAGGUGUCCUAAG